Molecule: ribosomal RNA, 484 nt
Filed under: uncultured bacterium
Lineage: Bacteria
Description: partial 16S ribosomal RNA
Rfam family: Bacterial small subunit ribosomal RNA
Source: RNAcentral
AUUGAACGCUGGCGGCAGGCCUAACACAUGCAAGUCGAGCGGAUGAAGGGAGCUUGCUCCUGGCUUCAGCGGCGGACGGGUGAGUAAUGCCUAGGAAUCUGCCUGGUAGUGGGGGAUAACGUCCGGAAACGGGCGCUAAUACCGCAUACGUCCUGAGGGAGAAAGUGGGGGUUCUUCGGACCUCACGCUAUCAGAUGAGCCUAGGUCGGAUUAGCUAGUUGGUGGGGUAAAGGCCUACCAAGGCGACGAUCCGUAACUGGUCUGAGAGGAUGAUCAGUCACACUGGAACGGAGACACGGUCCAGACUCCUACGGGAGGAAGCAGUGGGGAAUUUUGGAAAAUGGGCGAAAGCCUGAUCCAGCCAUGCCGCGUGUGUGAAGAAGGUCUUCGGAUUGUAAAGCACUUUAAGUUGGGAGGAAGGGCAGUAAGUUAAUACCUUGCUGUUUUGACGUUACCAACAGAAUAAGCACCGGCUAACUUCGUG